UUGAACGACCCUUAUAAACCAGUUUAUGUGCAACCGGCGAAAAUAGGUGACGUCACUAACACUGUCAUUUAUAUAUAGUGACCUGUAAAUGGACGUGUUUACUUUUUUGAAGCCAUGAAAUAACUCGACAAAAACAAUUAAUCUGAGUUGGUAAGUGGUCAAUUUUCCUCACAGUUAUUUAAUUUUUCAAAUUGUGUGUAUUCGUUAUUGUAAAAAGACAGUUUGUUUCUUACAUCGGCGAAAACUGGUGACACCAGGAUAAUAUCUGUAAAAUAACAAUUUAUGAAACUUAAAAAUGAUUUAUUGUCGCAAUUAAUCUUUAAAACUAAAGAUUUCAGAAACAACCAAAAGCAACUCAUAAAGGUAUUUACUUAUGCAUGUCUACAAUUUACAAAGAAAUGAGUUAUGAUAAUAAUGUUUAUUCGCUCUAAAUAAACUGUCUUAUUCAACGCAAACCUUAUUUUCUUAACGGAUCGCCGAAACCCAAACCCCAAUUUUAUAACUCAUCCUACCCAGUCUACUCUAACACAUAGACUCGUCCACUAAGUACUAAACCACUGCCCGUGCAAAUUGUACGUCUUUUACUAGCUCGUCGCAUCACAGGUAGGUCGCGCUAUGGUUUACAUAGAGGAUAAUUGUUGGAUUCGGUGGAUUAUCGAUUUUAAUUCACGAGUGAUCAUAGAAAAUAAUAUUUUCACAAGUGGCGCAGCCACGAGUGAAAAUAUAUAUUUUAUAUGAUCACGAGUGAAUUAAAAUCGAUAAUCCACCGAACCCAACAAAUUUUCUUUUUAUUUUAUGCUUAAUUUCACAGUUUAUAUACAUUGUUAAAGAGUUUAACUACUGGUCAUGUACGUAAUUCCGGCCUGUACGUAAAAAAUCGGCCACCUGUGUAAAAUCAUUUUCAUGAUCUUUACGCAUAUAUUUUGUUUUUAUUUAGAAAAAUCAACAUGAAAACCAUCCCCACUCGCAAUAUUUUGCAAAUGUAAGAACCAUAUCACCGUAAACUUUUGUGUUAAAAUGUCACAAAUAUAGCAGGAAAUAUUUGGCUCAUGGGGAAAGUGAUGUCAUCAUAUGUUGCAACAAUUAUAAUCAUAUAAGAAACAAAUAUAUUUGAUAAAAUAAUUUUUAUUUUAUCUAAUAAACUUUAAUCAAAGUUUUACCAAUUUAUUGUACAAAAACUUAUAUUCAAAACAUACAAAUCAGAACCUAAAUAUAAAUUUUUAAUAUAUGAAUUACCUCCCUUUAUAAGAAUAUUGCUAGAUUACAUGUUUAAAUAUUAUAUAUAAGCGUUUACUAAUAAUCAACACUGAAGUCAACUUUUCAAACAAAAUGUGUUUACUUUUUUAGCUAUGUUUGAAAAAAUUUAUUAAACACAUUAAAAACAAAUAUUUUUUAAUGAAAUAGCAGUUUCCCCAUUGUUUAUAUUUAUUAAAAUAGGUAGGGGGAGUAAAUGGUAUAAUAAUUUCGCAUUUAUUUUAAAUUUCAAGUCAAAAAUAUUAAUAGUAUAAACAUUGAUUAAUACUCUGAAAUUGAAGACAUUUGUCAAAAGAUAUUGCUUUGUAAUUUUAUCUGCAGAUCAAACUGAAAAGUGGCCGAUUUUUUAGGUACAUUUAACCUACGAAAAUGGAUAGUUUACAUGUCAUCAUUUUCUGUUCAUAAAGUAACAUUCACUGAUCUAAUUCUAUUUAAAUUUUCAUGCUAGGUGAGUUUUGAACCCAGGAUUAUAUAUGUGAAGUUUAGUUUCAACCAGUUGCCUAACACUAAAGAUUUUUCUUAAAUAGUCCCAAAAGUGGCCGGAAUUACGUACAUGACCAGUACAGAAUUUCGUUUGGAACAUGACGUCAUUUUGUCAAAAAAUGACGUCAUUUAACAUAAACAGUGAAAAUUAUCGAUAAUUUUCACUGAUAAUUUUCAUUGUUUAAAACAGUGAAAUUAUCAGUUUUAAUUCACUGAUAUUUCUCUAUAAACCACCGGAAAGCAUAAAAUAAAAGUUUAUAUUGCAUGUGCUGGCUGAUCAUCCGAGUAAGUAACUAAUUUAUGAAUUAUUAAAUUGUUGUACGUGAUUGUGAACUUUUUAUUAAACUCUUUUCAAAUGAGCACCUCUAGCUUGUUUUCGUUGUGAUUCACGGUUUUAUAAUUCCGAGCUAAACCCCGACAUUUUGUGUAUCUGGCAUUUGUCAUAAAAACAUUUUAUCCUGAACAAAGCCUGAAUCUGAGAUAACAGCGACUAUUUUGUGGCAACUAAGCGAACAUGUAUUUUAGUGAAUAAUUUUGUCUUACAUGUUGGUAAAUUGUUAACAUAAGUUUAUGAAUUUAAAUUCAAUAUUUAAUUUAAAAUUAUUGUCUAUAACAUUGUUCGCUUUCCGUUUUUAUUAACAAGACUAUUUUGAUGGUUUUAUAAGAAAGCUGUUCGUGUAUCACUGGUGAUCGGUUUAUCUUGUUAGUAGUUUGUGUAGUUAACUUGUAUUAGCAAAGCUUAAAUUCUACGUUUACUAUAGAUUGCCUUCCAUUGAAAUCGUUGUUUAUAAAAUUGUUCGCUUUCCGUUUUUAUUAACAAGACUAUUUUUAUGGUUUAAUACUGCCACCACGGCCAAAAGACGUCGUGUUAAAGUUGCACAGUCGCUACAAGCAAUGGGCGCAGACCAGAAAAGGACCACCGGCCACGCGCAACCGGAGCUGCCGACGCCGGGAAUAGAGCGCGAGAAUACGUCCGCACCGGGUACGAGCGAAGAAGUUUGUGAGCAAGAUUGCCACCACGGGUCGAAUAAUGUCUUUUGAAGGCAGGGUUGUCGUCUCAAGCAAUCGUCUGAGCGGAUUUUAAGGCAAUGACGACCUACUGGCAGCUUUCGGAAUCUUUCGCAGACACGAACAUUAACGAAGCACUAUGUGACGUAACAUUUGCGGCCGGAAAUGAGCAGAUGCAGAUCAAAUGUCACACAUUCAUUCUCGCCAGCCGUAGUCCAGUGUUCUAUGCAAUGUUCUGUGGUGCAGUUUGGACUUUAUAAUGGACAAGUCCGAGGUGGUUUUGAAAUCAGAUGCCUUUACUUGAAUGCCAAAGUCUGGAUAACAAACAGUUCUUAAACUAGAGACUUUGAGCGCCAGUGAGUGUGAAGUGUACGUUAGAUGUAAACGGUGCGCUGCUCAGAGAUGCUGGGACGCGGGGAACUGGAAACAGAUGAACAUAUAAGACAGGAGUUGGGUGAAGGACUGAUAGGCCUGAUUAGAUUUAUUACCAUAACCUCAAAAGAGUUCACGGAUGCUGUAGCUUAUGAAAACGUUCUCAACAAGGAUGAAAUUAUUCUUGUAUAUAAAAUUAUUUUUAAAAAAAACGCAAUACAUCAAAUUUCAAAUUUGUUUCUAGGGGCGUUUGGUAUGAUAAAUGUUUAUUUAGAAGGUGUAAUAAAAUUGGUCGGUCAUGGGUCUAAGUUUUACUGUGUCUUCGGGAGGUAAAUUAAGUGCGGUAGAUUUGUUUUUACCUAUCAUCGAAGGUUGUUUGACAGGUGUAGUAGAAAUCCUUGAGGAAUCAACAAUCAAACACACUCAAAAUGUUACGCUAAAUUACAAAAAAGAUAAAGAGCCCGAACUUAUACAUUUAGAAACGUGUGUCCAUCUUUCCGCUGGAAAAGUAUAUUCGAUACGACAAAGAUUGAAAGGUUCAAGUGCGUUUACAUGCUACGGAUGUGCAGAAAAGAUUACGGUGAAAGAUGUUACUAUGUCACUCACUAACUUGCAGGUCGGAUUGAUUGAAGACCUAACGAGCGUUAGCACCGGCCAAUUUUACGGAUUUGAACUUUUGAUCAAAACAACGAAGUGAAUGCAUAUAAUUUUGAAUGUUUUUAAUUGAUUGUUAUAACAUAUAAAAAUGAGAGACAUGUAAAUAGACUUGCAAUUUCUUGUUUAUGUUUUGUAUAUACAAAUUAAAAACUCAUGUUAACAACUUAA
Long non-coding RNA from Dreissena polymorpha, 3942 nucleotides. RefSeq lists it as uncharacterized. The transcript has 2 exons. The record is from RefSeq and is a predicted model, not a curated record. NCBI's taxonomy places the organism in Eukaryota, Metazoa, Mollusca, Bivalvia, Myida, Dreissenidae.